CGGGGAGCACUACAACGGGUGGAGCCGUGUCGGUUUUAAGUUGGUAUUACAACCGACCGGAAAUCUCCGACCGGGGGCGACAGCAAUAUGAAGGUCAGGCUGAAGACCUUACCCGAUUAGCUGAGAGGUGGUGCAUGGCCGUCGUCAGUUCGUACUGUGAAGCAUCCUGUUAAGUCAGGCAACGAGCGAGACCCACGUCCACAGUUGCCAGCAUACCCUCCGGGGUGAUGGGGUACACUGUGGAGACCGCCGCUGCUAAAGCGGAGGAAGGAGUGGGCAACGGUAGGUCAGUAUGCCCCGAAUCUCCCGGGCUACACGCGGGCUACAAUGGUUGGUACAAUGGGCAUCUACCCCGAAAGGGGAAGGAAAUCUCUUAAAGCCAAUCGUAGUUCGGAUUGAGGGCUGCAACUCGCCCUCAUGAAGCUGGAAUCCGUAGUAAUCGCGUUUCAACAGAACGCGGUGAAUACGUCCCUGCUCCUU
This 480-nucleotide ribosomal RNA is filed under the name uncultured Methanosaeta sp. RNAcentral's name for it is "bacterial SSU rRNA". It matches the Rfam family "Archaeal small subunit ribosomal RNA", at positions 871 to 1337 of the family's 1478-position model. The record is from RNAcentral. Lineage: Archaea; Methanobacteriati; Methanobacteriota; Methanomicrobia; Methanotrichales; Methanotrichaceae.